AACAACAAAAAGAAAAAAAAAAAAAAAAAAAAAGUCAAAUACUAGAGAAGUUGGUGGAGAAACCAGAGAAGUUGGUGUAGAAACCAUUAGUGUACUUCUAGAGAACAAGAGGUAAUUUAGAAAGUCUCUAAGAAAUCUUCAUAUCAGGUUGCAUGCAUGCACAAGUAGUCAGGACUGAAAAAAUGUUUAGAAAAAUAGCCAGUUACCUCAGCCUCCUCCUCUGAUUCUUCAUAGGCCUCAUCCUCCCCUCCCUGCUCAUGCCCUUCAUCUUCUUCCUCAUAAUCCUGAUCUGCUUCCACAUUCCUUCUACGUGAUGGAGAACCUUCAUCUUCUUCCCCUUCAGUUUCAUACUCAGAUUCCUCCUUCUCACUUUCAGAAAAGUCCAUUGACCGCCGAGAUGGCAAUGCUGAUUUGCGAGUUUUAGCCAGAAAAUGUUUACUAUUUUGACGAUUACCAUAUUAAAUCUGGAUGUUUAAGCUUAUCUAGAAUUUUGACGAUUAAUAGAAGGAACAUGGUUUAUAUGAUCUAAUGAAAUGCAAUUUGAAGAAUCAUUUCUAGUUUUGAACUCAAUUUCACAGACGACCAGGUCCGUGCGUGCGCGGAGCAAAAUUAUAGUUGUGGAAUUUGUCAAAACAUUUGAAGAAUCUUUUCCUAUUUUGAACUCAAUUUCAUGAAUAAUUGUCCUCUCUUGAAGCAUUUAAUUAUGUCAACUAUCAAUGAGAAAGACAAGAAAAUUCACCUUUCAAAACAUUUUUUUAAACAUAGAAAAAAAUAAAUAAAUAAAUUGUGGCUAAAGCAGCUCCGAGUCGCACAGAGCUGCUGCACGAAGUAGCAGCCCCGUGUGACAUGAGUUGCCAAGCUCCGUGUGAAGGGACUCCCCUAACUUUAAAAAUUUUUUUUAUUUAUUUUUAUUUUUUAGUAGUGGACCUUAUUAUUAUAAAUUUUUUUUUUUACUAUUAUAAUGAGUAAGCUAAAAACUGAAAAAUAUAGGUUACGGGCAUCAAGUUUGAUGCCCUAACCUAUAGUCUCAUUUUCUUCUUUUUCUUUUUUUUUUUUUUUUUUUUUUUUUUUUUAAAAAAAAAUUACUAAAUGAAACUUAGUUAUGAAUUUGGGUUAUUUCCAUGAUAUGAAUUAAGAACUAUACCAAGGGUAGUUUGACAAAGCUUGAGAUAAGACUUUAGCAAAUUUUGAUAAAAGUUGAUAAAAUAUGUGGUUGAAAAUUUGAUAAAAAAUGUUAGUCCCAUGAAUAGUAUGAUAAAAUUAAUUUUUGACUUUGAUUCAACUUUUGAAGAUAUCUCAAACAAGAGCAAAUAUAACAUUUUAUGAUAAAGAUUGUUUGAAAACAAAUGCAAUCGCUUAUAAAGAAAUUAAGUAGAUUUCCCUCUUGGGUCUUUAAUAAGUCUCUAAUAGAAUUUUGAAUCUAUUGUUAUCACAAUAACAAGUAAUAUUACAACAUAACACAAUAUCAAGUACAUAUACUUGGAAUCGAAUCAAAGCUCAUGAGAUAUAUCCUUUUUCAUUAUGAUUGUCUUGUCUUAUCUAGGACCGAUCCAGAUGACCAUGCACAAAAGCAUGAAUGUUAUGCCCAUGUUUGAUAGUGAUUAAAAUCUAGAUUUUAGUCUAGUCAAAAUCAAUAAUUAAUAUUAGCCACAUAUUUCAUGAAAUCCGCAAUAUUUUAACUACUAUUUCAUCAUCUUUUAUCACAAUUUAUUGAAAAUUUGAUUUUAAUUCUCACCAAACAAGAAUCAUAUUUUGUUUUGAUAGUUGGUUGAAGAUUAUGCCUUGUUUGAACCCUAUUCUUUUGAUAAAAAUGAAUUUUUGAAUAAUGUACUGAUGGAAAAUGUGCAACUAAAAAAUGAGAAAAAAAUUUGGAUUUACACGUAAUAUUAUUUUAUUAAAAAAAAUAUAUGGUUAAAAUGAUGUCAAAACACUACUUAAGAAUGAAAUUUUUUCGAAUAAUGAAAAUCAAAUAGGGGCUAUAUUGGCUCAAACAUGUUUUUGGCUCCAUUGGGUGCUAUUUUAUUUAUGUCAAGCCCUAAGGAAAAUAAAAUAUUAUAUCCUUAAUCACACACCAAAAUUCUUGUGUGUAGCUAGUCAAACUCGACUCCAAAUUAAACGUGUCAAAUACGACUCUGAAUUGAGUAUCGGAAUCAAACUAGAUGACUUUUAUAUCAAUUUGGGACUAAAAUUGGACGUGUUUAUUCACUUAGAAAAUAUAAUAUUAAAGUGCUUGAAUAAAUUAUUCAUUUUAUACAAAUAUUAAAUUUCAAAUUUCUAAAAAUGUGCACUUAUUAAAUUUGUGAUGAAAUUAUAAGAAAACAUACGAAGAUUUGCAUGGAAGAAAUAAAGCAUGAGAAAAGGAAAUGAAGCUCACAUUAAUAUGUUUGAAUAACUUUUUAAGUACAAAUCAAGCAUCUGUUGGAUAGUAGUUUAAUGCCAUGAAAAAGAUCACUAGGUAUCGAAUGGUUAUUGAAAGAUGGGAAUGCUUCUUAAUUAAUUAGUAUUUACUCAUGGGAUUCCACCACCAGCUCCUGCACCAAAUCCACUACCGGAUCCUCCACCCAAUUCGCCUCCACCACCGCCUCCGCCACCAAAACCUCCUCCUCCUCCUUGGGCACCAUUUCCAAACCCACCACCAAAUCCUCCUCCAGAACCAGAACCACCCCCUGUUCCUCCCCCUCCACCUCCUCCUCCACCUCCUCCAAACCCUCCACCUCCUCCAUGAGAACCACUUCCCAUCCCACCACCAAAUCCUGCUCCAUAACCAGAACCAGAACCACUACCACCUAUUCCUCCACCACCACCACCACCUCCACCUCCACCAAACCCUCCACCUUCUCCUUGAGCACCACCUCCAAUCCCACCACCCAUUCCUCCUCCAGAACCAAAACCACCUUUCGUUCCUCCACCUCCACCAAAGCCUCCACCACCACCUCCACCAAGCCCUCCUAGAUCCCAGUGACCAAGGGAUAAAUUUUUAUCUCCAUCUAAAGAACCCUCUGAGCCAACAAGCUUUCUUGCAGUGGUGGUGCAAAUAAGAACACUAAGGAGAACCAAGAGAACAAAUUUGGAAGGCAUCUCAAUUUGUAAGUAAAAGACAGGUAUUCAAUCUUGAUUGAUAACAACUUAGAACACAUGAAAGUGUUAUAUAAUGCUAGAAUAUCAAUUAUUUGCAAUAAAGUUUAAUGCUUGAAUUAAUGUGCAUUAAUGAAAGUCUCAUAACUUGACGGUUAUUGUAUUAGUAACUAGAAAUUUAGAUUUUUGUGUUUAGUUAUUAAUCGGUGCAUUAGUAAAUUAAUUUCUGAAUUAAUGGAUGUUUUAAUUUCUUUUCCUUUUAUCAUGUUUCAUUUUUCUUAAAUUACCUAACAUUUAUUUUUUCAGUUUCAUUUCGAGUUCAUCAUAAUCUCUCUCCCCCCUCCCCGAGGAGAGAGAGAGAGAGAGAGAGAGAUGAGGCAAGUGUUAUUUAGCAAUUUAAAGUAAUCCCGAGUCAAGUAUCAAUAAGAUUUAAAGGUAUAAGCAAGAAAUGAAAUUUUAUUUUAUGGCCAAGUGAGCAGUUCAGCAGAAAAGCUUUUGCUUAUUUUUGCACUUGCAAUAGAGUUUGGCGUAAAUUCUCUCUGAAUUUCGAAUAAGAACUAACGUGCCCUAUCAUGGAAAAUUAUACUUUCGUGUAUGGAUUGACAAAUAACUAUAUAUGUAUUGUUGAGUUUAUAACUUAAAAAUUGAAUUUUAUUUAUGAAAUGGAAUUUUGAAUACACAGUCACCAAAGCCACAAUCUAUUAUAUCCACUCAAAUGAGAUUUUCUCACUCCACUAAAUACAUACACUGGUUGUAUAUAUACACAGGAGCGGAGCUACAUAAAGUUCAGUGCGGGCAUCGGCCUGCACUUUGAACUUGACACAGGAAACUCCAGUGUGCUUGCACUGGACCAAGAAGAGAAGAAGAAGAAGGAGAAGAGGGAAGAAAGAAGAAGAAAAAGUGUGUCUGCACUCUACAGGCACUGGCGGAGGAAGAAGAGUUACAGUUGCCGACGGGGAAGAAGGAAAGGAGGAAAAAGAGUUACACUUACAGUUGCCAAUAGGGAAGAAGAAGGGAAGGAGGAAGAAGAGUUUAGUUGGGCCAAUUUUUUAUUUUUUUAGAUUUUGGGCCUUCUCUUUAGUUAGGCUUUUUGAGAAAAAAAAAAAUAAAAACAAUAGGCCCUUGAAAAAUCAUAUGCAAAGUUUUUUGGAAGUAAAAAAAUACUGUGUAAAAUUAAAAAGUGACAGAGUAUCACUUUUUUCACAAAAAAAAAAGUGACAAACACUCAAAAAGUGGCAAAAUUAAAAAUAAUAAUAAUAAAAAAAGUGACACCAACUCAAAAAAAAUGACAGACACUAAAAAAAAGUAAAUUCUACAAAUUCAAAAAAAGGUUAUGGAAAUUUAAAAAAGUGACGGACACUCAAAUAAAAAAAAAAUUUCUACAAAUUCAAAAAAGUGACACACUAAAAAAGUGACAGAAAUUCAAAAAAGUAACGGACUCUAAAAAAUAAAUUCUACAAAUUCAAAAGAGUGACAAAAAUUCGAUAAAGAAACAUAAAUUAAAAAAAGUGACGAACACUAAAAAAUUUACUUAAAACAAGUGACAAAUGCUAAAAAAAGUGAUUACAUUCUUCCUUCCUAGCAACAAAACUGACUAACAUCUAACUGCAGCCAGACUAAGAAACUUUAAAUUGAAGUAAUGGAUUGUGUCUUCUUUUGCGAUGCUUCUGGAUAUCACUUAUAAUUGGUGGCCAAUAUACAAGAGAGAGUGAAUUAACAUCAAAAGAGGAUUUCACGAACUGUCUCUAGCAACAUGUCCAUAGAGAGCUCCUCAUUAUCAAUUCUGUUUUUUUAAAAGGCACGAAUGCAACAGUAGUAUCACUAGCAACUGGCUGGCUAUUUCUUGUUAUUUCCUGCCAUUUCUGCAGUAGCAUCAGUGCAUCACCAACAUUUGCAAACCUAUUUACUCAACGGGUGACCGAAAGUGUCAAGUACAUGGUCUUUAAGGGGGGAAAAAGAGUAUCGAAAAUGUUAAAGAUAAGUUUAAUGUCUCUUUAAACUUUCAAGUAAAAAGGAUUGAAAAGUAAAACUCAGCCAACCCAACAAUGGCUUCGGGAGAAAAACAACUACCACAUUACAAAUUUUGGUUCUUUUUGUCCACAUAAUUUAACUAAGGGCAACUUACAAAAAUAUCUCUAAAAUUAAUGAUCUUUCGAAAAAUCAUAUAAAAGGUAUUUUGGAAGUAAAAGAUAAAGUGUAAAAUUAAGUGUCACUUUUGUUUUUUUUUUCUUUUUAAUGACACAAUGUCAAUUUUUAAAGUUAAGUGAAACUUUUUAAUAAAAAAAAAAAAAAAAAAAAAAAAAAGAAAGAAAGAAAGAAAAGUAAAGUGAUACACUAAAAAGAGUGACUAAAAAAGUGACAAAACGAUUAACACAUAUUCUAUUGCUAUUUCUUUAAUGAAGAAAUAUAUCCACCUAAAAUCCACGUAGAAAAUUAACACAAAUUCUGAAGAUUAUUUCUACACAUUCCACACAUUUGUUUUUUGAUCAUACAUUUAGUAAAGCAUUAUGUAUCUGUAAUGGAAAUUUUGCAAGAAAACAGAGCAUGGGAUAACCAGGGCAAAAUUCCAAGUUCCAACAAGAGAUUCAAUCAAGAACACAAAGAAAACUUUCUUGAAUCCAUUAAAUCCAUUCCUUCCCAUUUACAAGGAAUUACAAAAGGUGCCAUCAAAAGAGUGCCCAUUUUCGUAUAAAAAUAGGAUUCAAAUUCGGUUCAAGUGGAGUAACUAAAUUAAAAUCCCAAGAGAAUCAUAUUAAACCAUGAGAUAAUAUUUCACUGUUCAUAAAUUCCGAUUCAAACUCAAUUAUAUUUUUUAUGCCAGUACGUAUUAGAAUUUAAAACCUUGGAUCUUUUACAUAUAAUAAUAUGAGGAAAUUUAGGUAUAAAAUGAAAUAAAUUUCUCUUUGAUAUCUGAACUUUACAUAUGCAAACUCGAAAAUAAAUUCUUAGUGAUUUUACCUAUUCACGGUUGAUUGAGAAUUUGAUUUGUGAAAUUUGUUCUUUGAUGUUCAAGAAUUGGAGGUUUGUACCCGCAAAAGGCCCGUACGUAUAAAUUUGAAAAGGGCAACUUAGAGGGUUUUAGAAAAGGAACGUAUUUUCUACUCUUUAUGAAUAAUGCAUUCCAUUUUUCAAUUUGCUUAGUUUUAGGUAGUAACGGGCGUAAUUUACCCAAUAGUUUUCUGACAAAUUUCAAUCCAAGCCGAACGUCACUUCAUAAUUCACCUAACAUACUCACUCUUUUUAUUAUUUAGGUUUAACUGUUGCCAUUGUUUUUUGCCACAUUUAAGCUCAACGUCAUUCACAAUUCACCUAACACCCACUCAUUCUUUCAUUUAGAUUCAGCUGUUGCCAUCGUUUUCAGCCACUCUCCUCUCACAAGUCAUGACUUCAUCUUUGCUCCUCAAGAUCGUCAAUGUUUCGGCAUUAUUAUUUACUUUUUGAAUAAUUUUUACAUAUUGGUGAAUGGAUCUUAUUAGACAGCUUUUAUUUGUAUUUUUUAAUUGGACUAUGUUAUUUUGUAAAAGUUAAAAUUGAGCUAUCAUUCAUUAAAUUAAUAUAGUGUUGUUAUAAAUGUUAAAAAAUUUAAUUAUGGUAUGGAACCUAAGAAACCAAACCGAACCGAACCAACUCGAACCAAAGAGCCGAACUAUUUCGGUUCCAUAAUUAAAUUUGGACAUGACGAGUCCACUUAUUGAAUAUCUAAAAAAUCUGAUUCAAUUCGAUUUGAACCGAACCAUGUCCAACUCUAAUUUAGAUCAACUUUAGAUGAUUUUUCAUUUAUGGAAAUGGAACGCUAAUUCUCAAUGAUUGAAAAUUUGAAGUGUAUUAUAAAGAGUUCGCUGAGUUCGAUUGGAGUGGGACCAUUUGCUCUAUUAAAAGGCAUUAACAAUCAAAUUGAUUGCCAAUGUCGCAUUAGCUAUAGUGUUGACCUCGAAGUAUGGCCCAUCCCCCAAAUUUGAGGACUUUGAUUGGUGUUUGAUGUCAACCAUGUAGGUUAUCAUGCUAAUUAGGUUGUAUAUAUAGCCUAGGUUAUUAUUUCUUAUCAUCUAGAUAAUCAUUGCUUAUUUUUUAUUUGUGGAGGAUGAGUAACUAAUUUUAGGGCUAGCCCUGAAAAUUUAGAGGUCCUAGGCGACAAAUUAUUACGAGGCCCUCCAACAUAAUAUUUUUAUAGGUGCAACAAUAUUUAAAUAGAAUAAAGUAACAAUAUUUAAAUAAAAUAAUGUUACUUGUACAUAAGUAGUUAUAUAAUUAUUUAUAUGUAGAUGGGAUAUCAAAGAAAUUGUAGAGAAGUUUUUUUCUUUUUUUCUUGUUGAAGAAAUUCUAAGACGAUUAUAUCUCACCUAGGGUUGGACAAAACUCCCGAACCGAACCGAACCAAACCCGACGGUUGUUCUUAAGUUAAAUACCCAAACGGGUAUCCGAAUCAAGAAUCGAAGGGUACGGUUCGAUUCUCGGUUCUAGACCAAGAACCGAAUAAUCGAAUUUUUCUAAUUUUUUAUUUUUUUAUAUUGAAUAAAUCAAAUUAUUUUAAUUUUUUCUAAAUCUAAUUUUUUGGCCCAAUUAUUUGUUUCAUUUUUUAUUUUUUUAACCCAACAUCAAGCAUUCAAGCCUAUAUUAUCCUUCCAUUUUUAGCCCAACUCUAAAUCUCCAAUGUCCAACCCACUAAAUCCAAGUAUCCAACCCAAAAUAAACUACAUAGUACACUACAUACGGUCCCACCUCUUUUUUAAUACUAGUAUCUACUUUUUGGUAUAUGUAUACAUUGGUAAAUUAAUGUUAUUGGACAACUUAUUAUUUAUAUGUUUUUUAAUGGGACUUCGUUAAUUUGUAAAAGCUGUGAUUCAACAUGUUAUUAGUUGUAUUUAUGUGGUGUUGUAAAUGUUAAAAAAAUAUAAUUAUGGUACGGAACCAAACCGAGCCAAAUGGAACCGAACCCGAACGGUUCCAAUUACUAAGCACCCGAAAAUUUCGAGUCCGGUUCGGCUCUUCAUGUCCAGCCCUAAUCUCACCACAUCUUGUGUAUAUAAAUCUUUAUGUAAAUCUAUUAUGUAACAUAGAACAACCGAUUUAAAUAUUUAAAUAAUUAAUACUUUUAUAUUAAAAAAAAAGACUUUAUACAAUUCAAAGUAACUUGUAUAUAUAUAGUUGCAAAGGAGAGGAAAAAAAACCAAAUUGCAAAACCAUAAUUCCAAACAAUCACCGGGUGCAAUAAAAUUAAAAGAAAGUAACCCAGGCAAAAUACCAAUGAAGAGUAAUUAUACAAACAUCAGACGAAGAAAGUGGAUCUCAUUGUGAUAUAAACUAUCCUUCUGACAAAAUGCAAUUAAUUAAUUACCUUUCUUUUUUACUAUUUGUAACUCCAAUAAUAAAUAUAGAUCAAUUGAGAUUUAGCAAAUUGAUCAUUACCUCAAAAACUAUCAUCCUAGGUCAUGUUACCUAAUUAUUUCAUGAAUAUGCUCCCACAAAUGACUUAUUUAUGAAAGUUUUUUUGGAUUAGAAAAUAUCUUUCUCUAUAAAUAUUAAGACAUCUCAGCAAUUUGUUAUGUUUGGUGUUUACAAAUGAAUUAGUUAUUCUCUUCAUCUCACAAAAUAGGCCUGGAUAUUUUAACAAGAAUUGAACCUCCCAAACCAGAACAAGAGGUUUGGUUUGAUUUAAAAAAAAAAUUUAAUAAAUAAAUUUGGAACUGGAACUGAUAACCGAUUGGGUUCGAUUGAUUCUUAGUUCCUGAACCAGAACUAUGAGUACCCAAAUAGAAUCGAUUUUUAAGAUAAUUUUUUGUUUACAAUUUAUAUGUUGGGUAAAAAAAUGCAAAACUUAUAAAUCCUAAUUUAGGUAGUAAUUAGUCUAAAACUCUAAACCCAGGAAAUCAAGACUGGCUCUUACUCUUUUACCUUUUACCUUACAUUAUAUUGUUGAAUUUCAGAUGUUAACACAUGUUAAUCUUUGCAAUUUCGGCUUUCUAUGAAUCAAAAAGUUCGAGCUAGAUUAUGAUGUAAGUUGAUGAAUCAAAACAUUAAUUCUUUACAAUUCGAGCUUUUUACUUUCUUGCAUUGUUUACAACUUAAGUGAUUUUUUCAUUUUUUUAAUAAUGCAUAGCAAUUGAACUCGAUAAAUUCAUAGCUUGGAUAGUGUAUAUUUUUUAUUAUCUAGAGUUUGUGAUUCUUUUUUGAAAUAGAAUUUUUUUUCUUUUUAAUCAAACAGACCAAGUUCACUAUGUGGACUGCAAUUUUUUGAUACUAUAUAGUUAUGUAUCUAAUUAAUAUUUUUUAUAUCAGUUCGUUUUAAUAGUACAAGAAUUUAAGAAGUGUUCAUAAUUAAACUAUAAGUUCUAGCAUGUUUCACUUAUGGAUCGAAUAAGAUUUAUUAAGAAAAAUAAGUUCUUCUCAGAUUGUAAUUUAAUUUUGAUAUUUUUGUUCUCUUCUUUCGUGGUUUGUAGUCUCUACUAUUUUGCUUAAUGAAAAUUUUUUAGCUGAAUUUUCUACCUUGCACAAAUAUUAUCGUGUAGUAGCAUAUUGGAUAUACAUAUACCUAAAGGGUAUAUGGGAAAAUGUUUAUUUAAUGUACAUAAUAAAAAAUUUUAUUGGUAGAAUCGAACCCAAAUCGAAACCAUCUAUUCCGGUCUGGAUUUGGUUCCAAUAAUUACAAGAACCAGAAUGGUUCCAAUUACUGAAUACUCGAAGUAUAAUGGGUGAUCUGAUGUAUUGAUACUCAAACCGACCCACCCGAUGCCUAGGCAUACCACAAAGAUAGGCUUGUUUCAUUUUAACAUAGAUUUGAAAUUGUAAUUAAUAUAAUUAAAAAUAUAAAUUUUUUCUAAUAUACCCCUAAAUUAAAUAAUAAUUUAAUAUGAAAAGCUCUUAUUUGUUGAUAACAAAGCACAAUAAAGAUGAGCAUAUUAAAAAAUUAAAAUAAUAAAUUAUACUCUCAACAAAGAAAUUGACUUAUAAUUUGAGACAAACAAAAAAGUAAAGCAAGUCUAUCUCUAAGGGACGAAUGAUGGAGUGUUGACCGAAAUGGGCACUAAAUAAGUUUUGGAAUUUUUAAUUCUGUCAAAAAAAGAGGGGAAUGCACAUUUGCAAAAGGAAAAUACAGAUUUCUAUACAUAAAAUUUCGAUACGACAGUGGGUCCACACAUACAUUGCUUUGCAUUAAGCUAAAAAAAAAUAAAAGAAAAAAAGAAAAAGACAGACUAUUUAGAGGGAAGUUCAAUGAGCAAAAUUGAAAUUAACCCUCUUAUAGUGAACCAAAAUAGCUAUAAAAUUGAAAUAAUCAAUCAUACAUUAAAAAAAGGAAUAAUGUUAUCUAGCACAAGUAGUGUUAGAACACCUGUUUAGAUGACUAUAUAUACUUUAUAGAUUCAAUUAAAUGAAUCAUGUGACUUAGCAUUCAAAUCAAUCUAUCAUUUAUUGUCAUAUAAUUGCCACAUAUAUUGGUGCUUAACAUUAGUGAUGAUGAAUAACAUUUCUCCACAUCUAUUACAAUAUAGAGAGAGACAUAAUUAAUGGUGACGAUAGUUGGGUUGAGAUGGCCUUUAUAGUAUGUUGACCUUGCCUGAAGGCAAUAAGAGGUUAAGAGCCACUAAAAAUUCGACCCAACAUAGACCUUUAGCAAGCCAAAUGGGCUCUUUAUGCAACCCAAUGUGCUCAGCUCAACUCAAUUGAUACCACUAGAUAUAAGAGUUAUCCAUGUCAUGUACUUUAUUGCACAGAAUUUUGUUGCAUUGAGACCUCUGAUUGUGAGAUGCAAAUUAAUUUGCUAAACUACUUGAUCUCAUAACAUUACAAAUUCUGUUCCAAAUUAUGGAAAUUCUUUCUUGACAUUCAAAAUAUAUGAGGAAAAACAAAAAGAGAAGUGAACGCAAAAAAAUAAAUAAAUAAAAAUAAACAUAUAGAAGUCUUCUAUUUAAAAAUGGGAUUAGACAAACAAAACAAAAAAAAUAAAAAAUAAAAAAAAAAUCAAAUUUUCUCUCAUUUUCUUUUAAUUUUCUUCCAGUUUUCUUUUUCUUAAUAUGAAGCGUGUUGUAGGAGCACAUUUUCAAAAGAAACCUAAAUAUUGAGGAAGUUGUAGGGAAAUGAGACUAAGUUAUACGGCAUGAUAUAAAGUAUUAAUCACAACAACAAGAUGAGCACAAAGAUAAGAAUUUAAUUUGAUAGAGAACUUGGAGAUUUUAUUCAACAACUAUAAUGGAGAGAAAAUGCAAUAAUUGUGUUCCUAUACAAUGACUCUUAACUUUCAAUAAUUAUCUAAUUGUAAAGAAAAGUGUACUAUUCAUAGGGAUACAUAUCAAACUCUAAUAAUAGCUCAAAAGACGGAAACUACAUCAAAUGCAUGUAAAAUGAAAUCGGAGAAAAAAAAUCUGAUGUUUCGUCGCUCAAGCACUGGCCUCGCGCCAGGCGAGCGUCAGUAGUGCUACUCAAGCGGCCCUAUAGGGGUAGUUGAGCAAAAGGCUCUCUGCUCCAAAAUUCAUCCCACCGCUUGAGUAGUGGGCAGGGCAGGUUAGAGCCAUGUCACCUAAUCUUCUUCUUGGACCUUAUUUGAUUAUCUUCAAGCCCAAUACUUCAAAUCAUGCAACCCCUGAUCUAAAUUUGAAUCACAAAACCCAACAAUCUUCACCUCGACACAUAUUCCACUAUUAUGAUCAUGUCUCCAAAAUUAAUCCACCUUGAGAAAAAAAAUCAAACUGUAAAGAAUGAACCGAACUCUUCAACAAUAACUAAACUAACUUAUCCAAAAAACUAAAAACAGUCGACCUCUUCCACAAUUCCAACUAUGAUACUUGAAUCCAAGAACUGCUCCAUAAAAUUACUUUGGGUUCAACCCAAAAAAUCAAAUAAUGAUUUUAAAAUCGGCCAAACUGGGCCAAAACAUACCUUGAAGCAGAAUCUAACUAAAUGCUUUUGUAGAAACUAGAAAGCCCCUUGCUAGUUUGAACAUCUGCAAAUACGCUUAAAGCAUGCGCAACAAAAUCAGUUUUCCGGUACCUUUCUUCAAGGGAUCUAUCCAUAGCAAUUACAUAAGAUGACACUAUAGGUGAUGGUGGUAAAUCAGCAUUACCAAUAUCCACUGAACUCAACUGAGUUGUAUUCUUCAAUACGGACCUUGAACUAAAUCCCAACAAUAUUAUACCAGAUUGAAUAGCCACCACGGUACUAAACCUUUGCUGAUUAAUGUUCAUAAAUUUUGCAUGACCUUGCAAGAUGUAUAAAUGAGAACUAUUCUAUCUCUCCAAUAGAACCCGUGCACCCUUACAAACCUUCAAAGCUCCAUUUCCACCAAAUAACUUAUAACCCUUUCAAUCAAAAGUAAUUAAUGAGAUGGAUUUUUCUUCAAAUCUAAAACAUGUUGAACCUGACCAAGUGUUUUAGCUAUCCCAUUCAACCACUUUAAUUUGACUUUACCAAUACCAGCUACACAAAAAAGUGGUUGUUCAAAAUUGUUUCAUAUGUUACAAACAGAUCCCAAUUGAGACAUAUAUGAAAAGCACAAGCUAGAAUCCAAUCCUCGUUAAGAUUGGAGUUGCCGUUAAAAAUAGCCAAUACAUAUCCAUCACCCAAAUAAUCCUCUACGACAUUAGCUUCACCUGAAGUAUCUGAUUCUGUCCCUUCUGAUUUGUAGCCAAAUUUACUUUUUCUGCAACUUGUUACAAUUCCUCUUGAUGUGCCCAUUUUUCUUGAAAUAAAAUAAACUUGAUUAUUGAAAUAGGAUUUUGACCUACCGCUUCUAUGACCACAAUGAACAACAAGGCCUUGUCCGUCUCUAGCCUCAAAUCCAAUUAGAUAUUUCAUCUUCUCCUUUUAAAACAAAACAUCAUAUGCAUCUUCAAUGAUGAAAGUAUCACGACUAUACAAAAUUGUGUCUCUAAAUGAAAUAAACGAAGCAAACAAUAAACACAAAAGAAUGAAAGCUAAAUCUUCUGAUUUCCUUAAAAACAGCCAAAAUGAUCUUCCUAUUAUCUGCCUUAUGUUAUGUGAUAAGAAUACAACCUUGACUUCAUUUGCAAUUUACUUGUCAAACUCUUAAUCAUAUAGAAUUACUCCAACUUCGACCACAACGUAUUUGUCGUUUUUCCCUUCAAAACUUUCUUAAGAAUAUUAUUCGAAAGAUGAAAACGAAUUUGUAAAAGCAACUUUUGAUCCUUCCAUUGUUUCUCCUCCAUCAUCCAAGUUGUGGGCAUUUUAUCAAAUUCCAACAACGCAUCAUCCAAAUCCAUCUAAGUGAGUACUGCAUCGUCUCAUGCCAUAUUAAGAAUCGAGUACUGCGAUCUAAAACUAGAAUGUCAUAAUUCAAGGUUGACAUCAAUAACAAGAAACCACGAAAAAAUCAAACCAAAGCUUUGAUACCAUUUGUUGAGAAUUUGGACGAGAUUAUACGACAAGACAUGAAGUAUUGAUUGAUAAGUGUGUUUUUACGCACUUAUUUAGUUCACAAACAUGACGUAAUUAAGAGCAAAAUAUUGGAUUUGUGAUUUAAUUUUUGUUAAUUUGUGUAUCGUAGGAUAUACUGAUGAACAUGGUGAAAUUCAGGAGAAAAGAGGCGAAAAAGGACUAAAUUGAAGCAAAGUGAAAGUUCGGGAACAAAGUGCAAUUAUCUGAAAAGUUGAUCCAACAGACACAUCAAGCAAUUGAUUGAGCUAGGUACCAAUUGGAGGUCAUAAUGAAACAUUGGAACAAUUAGAAACACGAAAGGAGGUCAAGAAGUCGAUGAAUAAAGUUUUAUGAUCAACAUAACAUAAUUUGAAAGUUUUUUUCUACUAUGCGGUCGCAUGGUAGAAACCUUAUGCGGUCACGAACACUGAGUCAGGGAAUUAAUACACCAAAUUUCAUAAACCUAUGCGGUCACAUAGGUAUAUUUUGGGGUUGAUUCUGCAGAUUCUUAUUCGCGAUGAAAUUCUUAUGGAAGCCUAAUCUAAACGUGAUAUAAAUACCCAAAUUCAUCAGAAACAAAGGAAGAAUGCAUUGGAAAGAAGAAAAACACAUCUUGGAGAGGAUCUUGAGCGAAAGGAACGAAGAAAUUUACGAAGAUCAUCCAGAUUUCAUGCAAAUUCAUAUCCCGGUGAUGCUUUUUCUUCAAUCUACUAUGUAUUUUGAUUUUUUCUCCAUGUUAGGCUAGAUUUUCAUGUACUAGGAGAUUGAUGAACCAUGUGAUGUAAUAUUUCAUUUUCUAGUUUUACAAGUUGACAUUAAAAUGCGUAUUUGGAUAUUUGAAUGAAUUAUAUGCAUUGAUUUUCUUCCAUAAUUAAGUGCAUGUAAUUAUGUGACGUGUGGUGGUUUAUUUCAUUUAUUCGAGAGAAGAGAAAUAAAUUCGACAAGGUAUAAUUUAUCGUAGGGUCCAAUAGGGGAUAGAGAUAUACCUCUAUGCUUUAUGUGAAUCUUUAAGUGCUCAUAAAAUUGAAUGCAUUUUUAUAUAUGCACUUGUCAUAGAAAUAUAGGCCUAUGGUAUGUAAAAAUAGGUUCAAUACAUCUCGAGAGGGAGUAUUGGAUAGAAUGAGGAGCAUUGAUUCGUCAAUAAUUUAACACCUGUCAUUAGUGAAACUAGGGUUUAAGAUGAUCAUUGCAUGAAAAUUCGUGAUCCUAGUGUGAUUAACAUUCAUUGAAUACAACAAACUUGCGUUCGAACCAUUUAAUCUGCAUUUUAAUUAAUUAAAACAUCAUUUUGCAUAUUUGAUCCUUUAAUUCAUAACAUUUACAUAAUUAGGGUUUCCUUUUGGUUAACAAUUCAAUUUGGAUAAUUCAAUUUCAGUUAAAGCUCCGAUAGAUAGAAUUGAACUACUCGAUCCCUGUGGAACGAUAUUCAGAUUCAAAUAUCCACUUUAUUACUUAUUAACGAACAGUACACUUGCGGUGGUUUAAAUCGAAAUUAAUAUUUCGUGAACAAGUUUUUGACGCCAUUGCCGGGAGAUUGAGUUUAGUUUAAUUUUAUUUCUUUCUAGACACUAUUUCGAACUUUCAAUUUUCAUUUUUAUUUAUACAUUUAAUUUCGUUUAGGCAUUUUGCUUUAUUUUUAUUUUAUUAUUUAUAUUGAUAGAAUCUGAGUGCUACUAUUGAUUCUCUCGCAGAGUUGCAUGUCUACAACGACGGGAGGAGAAUUAAUUCCAGCAAACUCGAAAAUUGAGCGAACCUUUUAUCGAUUGCAACGAGAAAAUAGAGAAGCACGUCAGCAACAACAAGAGCAAAUGGCUAACUUACAGAACAACCCUGUUUUUCAAGCUAAUGAAGGAGAGGCGGUGGAUGAAGAAAAUGAAAUUUUGGGAGAUUUCUUGACUCAUGUGAUUCAAAGCUAGUCCAGUAUAGUGUAUCCACCGUUUGGACAACCAAACUUCUAGUUGAAGACCAAUGUGAUACAGCUAUUCAAGAAUGGACAUCAAUUUUAUGGCAGAGCUGAAUCAUUUGACGACGCCUGGAAUAGAUUAAAAAACAUGCUCCAAAAGUGCCCUCAACAUGGGUUUGACAAAAAGACCCAAAUUCGAUUCUCUUAUAAAGGGUUACUUCCUUACCACAAAAGCAUGGUGGACUCAGCAUCAGAUGGCUCAAUAUCCACACGAACAAUUGAUGGGGCAUUGGAACUAUUCGAGAGAAUGGCUACCAUUUCAGCCAUUUGGUCUUCUGAGAGGGUGAUCCCAAAGAAAAGGUCUAGGUGUCUACGAGAUAGACACUUAUUCAGCCAUAGCCACAAAGAUCGACUCUUUGUGUUACAAGGUUGAAAGCAUGUCACAGUCAGCACACGUUAAGAAGAACAAUUGUGAGGAAUGUAGAGUUUAGCAUAAAACAUCAGACUGCCCAAUCAUAAUGCAAGGAAUUGAGCAGGCAGACUAUGCACAGUGGGGACAGUGCCAACCUAACAACUCAUAUGGGAAAACUUACAAUCCCAAUUGGAAGAGGCGUCCCAACUUUUUUUGAAGCAACUAGAAUCAGAAUAAGCCACGGGAACAGUUUCAACAACAAGAGAAGAGACCUCAAUUGGAAGAAAUGUUAGGGAAAUUCAUGGAGAAUGACGAGGCUAUCCUUCAGAACAAAAAUGAAGCCUUUAAAAAUUUGGAAACUCAGAUGGGACAGCUAGCCAUGGCGUUAAAUGGCAGAGCAUCGGGUAAUCUAUCGAGUAACACAUAAAUUAACCCAAGGAGCAAGCUAAGGCUAUUACAACUCGAAGUGGGAUGCAGCUACCCGAAAUACGUGUUAAGAGACCGAGUGUGAUGAGAGAACCACCUCCUACAGAGGAAGAAACUAUGGAACAGGACGAACAACCAAAAGAAUCAACUCCAAAGGGAAGUUUAGAGAAUUCACGGGAUAAAGCCAUGGUUACAGUCAACCCAUAUAAGCUUCCAAUUCCAUUUCCCCAGGGGUUGAGGAAACAUAAAAUGGAGCAGCAGUACAAGAAAUUCCUCGAAGUCUUCAAAAAGCUCUACAUCAAUAUCCCGCUAGCAAAUGUACUAUCCCAAAUGCCCAGCUAUGCAAAGUUUGUGAAGGACAUUCUAUCAAAUAAAUGCAAGUUGGAAGACCACGAGACAAUAAUGCUUACAAAAGAAUGUAGCGCCAGAAUUCAGAAAAACCUCCUGCUAAAAUUGAAAGAUCCAGAAAGUUUUACUGUUCCUUGUACUAUUGGUGAAGUUUAUUUUGAUAAAGCCUUAUGUGAUCUUGGUGCAAGUGUUAAUUUAAUGCCUCUGUCUGUUUUUAGGAAACUCGGCUUGGGAGAGGCUAAAGCGACUACCGUAACACUGCAGUUGGCUGAUAGGUCGCUGACCCACCCAAGGGAAAUAAAAGAAGACGUGCUUAUCAAAGUCCCUGUAGAUUUCCUCAUCUUGGACAUAGAGGAAGACAAGGACAUCCCGUUAAUACUCGGCAGACCAUUUUUGGCAACAGAGAGAGCCUUAAUUGAUAUUCAGAGGGGACAGUUAAUUUUGAGAUUGGGGAAGGAGCAGAUAUCAUUCAACGUCUUUAAGGCCAUGAAACUCCCUUCUGAAUCAGAUAGCUAUUUCCAUGUCAAUGUCAUUGAUAUGGUGGUCCAGAAGACAUUCUUACUUAACAGCACAUCCGAUGCUUAUGAGGCGUGUAUUGCACAUUCUCAUUCAGCCCAGUCAGGCUCUCUUGAGAUUGAGACAUGUGCAAAGUUUCUGGAGACAAACCCGCCAUACACACGAAAGAGACAUUUCGAGGAGCUAAGAACAGGGACCACAAAACCAUUACCCUCUAUUCAGUAGCCGCCAGUAUUGGAACUUAAGCAACUGUCCCCACAUCUCAGAUAUGCUUAUUUGGGAGAGUCAUGUACACUCUUGAUGAUUAUUUCAAACACAGUUAGUAAGGUGAAGGAAGAAAGACUGCUUAGGGUACUCAGAGAAAAUAAGACUGCAAUUGGGUGGACGAUAGCUAACAUUAAAGGGAUUAGUUCUUAACUGUGUAUGCACAAAAUUCUCAUGGAGGAGAAUUGUAAGCCAAGUAUAGAAGGACAGAGUAGACUAAAUCCAAACAUGAAGGAAGUGGUAAGGAAAGAAGUAUUGAAAUUAUUGGAUGCUGGUAUUAUAUACCCAAUUUCAGACAGUGCAUGGAUCAGCCCAGUUCAAGUUGUGCCGAAGAAAGGGAGAAUGAAUCACAGUGGUACAAAAUGAGAAAGUGAGCUAAUUCCUACCAGAGCAGUGACGGGAUAGAGAGUUUGCAUUGAUUAUCGCAAACUCAAUGCAGCUACAUGAAAGGACCAUUUUUCACUCCCAUUUAUUGAUCAGAUGCUAGAAAGGUUGGCAGGGCAUUCACAUUACUAGAUGGAUACUCGGGCUCCAACCAGAUACUAGUUGCGCCAGAGGAUCAAGAGAAGACCACGUCCACUUGUCCUUAUGAUACUUUCACCUACCAUAGGAUGCCAUUUGGUCUGUGCAAUGCUCCAGCUACAUUUCAGAGAUGCAUGAUGGCAAUAUUCUCUUAUAUGAUUGAAAGAUUCAUAGAGGUGUUCACGGACGAUUUCUUAGUUUUUGGAUCGUCAUUUGAUGAAUGCUUGGAGCAUUUAAAUCUGAUCUUACAGAGAUGCAAGGAAACUAACUUAGUUCUGAACUGGAAAGAAUACCACUUUAUGGUACAGGAAGGAAUUGUACUUGGACAUCGGGUCUCAGCAAAGGGAAUUGAGGUGGACAAAGUGAAAAUUCAGGUUAUUGAGAAGCUACCACCACCAACACCAGUUAAAGGGGUCUGUAGUUUCUUGGGGCAUGCGGGGUUUAUAAUUAUAAAGGAUUUUUUGAAAAUCACUAAGCCGCUGUGCAAUCUACUGAUGAACGACGUACCUUUUGAGUUUAAUAAGGAAUGCCUGAUAGCAUUCAACACUUUGAAGGAGAAACUCACGUCAGCACCGGUAACUGUAGCGCCAGAUUGGGGAUUGUCUUUUGAACUAAUGUGUAAUGACAGUGAUCACGUCGUGGGUGUAGUAUUGGGAAAACAGAGAAACAAGGUUUUUCACAUGAUCUACUAUGCAAGCAGAACCCUAAAUGAUGCGCAGAUCAAUUACGCUACCACUGAAAAUGAGCUCUUAGCCGUAGUAUAUGCAUUCGACAAGUUUAGAUCAUAUCUUAUGGGAUCUAAGGUCAUAGUUUACACAGAUCACGCUGUACUGAAAUAUCUGCUAACAAAGAAUGAUGCGAAGCCGAGUUUGAUCCGAUGGAUAUUGUUGCUGCAAGAAUUUGACAUUGAAAUCAAAGACAAAAAGGGAAGUGAAAAUGUGGUAGCAGAUCAUCUGUCCCGAUUGGAGUCUACAGAGAUAGAAGAAUUAGUGGAUAUCAUU
Molecule: long non-coding RNA, 18832 nt
Filed under: Olea europaea (common olive)
Lineage: Eukaryota; Viridiplantae; Streptophyta; Magnoliopsida; Lamiales; Oleaceae
Description: long non-coding RNA (OEUR_LNC010217)
Source: RNAcentral